This 497-nucleotide ribosomal RNA is filed under the name uncultured bacterium. RNAcentral describes it as "bacterial SSU rRNA". It matches the Rfam family "Bacterial small subunit ribosomal RNA", at positions 35 to 507 of the family's 1533-position model. The record is from RNAcentral.
ACAACGGCUGGCGGCAUGCCUAAUACAUGCAAGUCGAGCGAACAGAUGAAGUGCUUGCACUUCUGACGUUAGCGGCGAACGGGUGAGUAACACGUAAGGAAUCUACCUAUAAGCGGGGGAUAACAUUCGGAAACGGGUGCUAAUACCGCAUAAUAUCUUCUUCCGCAUGGAAGAAGAUUGAAAGACGGCUCUGCUGUCACUUAUAGAUGACCUUGCGGUGCAUUAGUUAGUUGGUGGGGUAAUGGGCCUACCAAGACGAUGAUGCAUAGCCGACCUGAGAGGGUGAUCGGCCACAUUGGGACUGAGACACGGCCCAAACUCCUACGGGAGGCAGCAGUAGGGAAUCUUCCGCAAUGGGCGAAAGCCUGACGGAGCAAUGCCGCGUGAGUGAAGAAGGCCUUCGGGUCGUAAAACUCUGUUAUAAGAGAAGAACAAAUUGUAGAGUAACUGCUACAGUCUUGACGGUAUCUUAUCAGAAAGCCACGGCUAACUACGUG